CUACGGGUGGCUGCAGUGGGGAAUAUUGCACAAUGGGGGAAACCCCGAUGCAGCAACGCCGCGUGGAGGAUGACACAUUUCGGUGCGUAAACUCCUUUUAUAGGUCAUGAUAAUGACGGUAGCCUAUGAAUAAGCGCCGGCUAACUCCGUGCCAGCAGCCGCGGUAAUACGGAGGGCGCAAGCGUUACUCGGAAUCACUGGGCGUAAAGAGCAUGUAGGCGGGUUAAUAAGUCAGAAGUGAAAUCCAAUAGCUCAACUAUUGAACUGCUUUUGAAACUGUUAACCUAGAGUGUGGGAGAGGUAGAUGGAAUUUCUGGUGUAGGGGUAAGAUCCGUAGAGAUCAGAAGGAAUACCGAUUGCGAAGGCGAUCUACUGGAACAUUACUGACGCUGAGAUGCGAAAGCGUGGGGAGCAAACAGGAUUAGAUACCCUGGUAGUC
Molecule: ribosomal RNA, 439 nt
Filed under: uncultured bacterium
Lineage: Bacteria
Description: partial 16S ribosomal RNA
Rfam family: Bacterial small subunit ribosomal RNA
Source: RNAcentral